UAUAAGGAAGAAAUUCUUUACUCUGAGGGUGUUAAAACCCUGGCCCAGGUUGCCCAGAGAGGUGGGAGAUGCCCCAUCCCUGGAAACACCCAAGGCCAGGCUGGCCGGGGCUCUGAGCAACCUGAUCUAGUGGGAGAUGUCCCUGCUCACUGCAGGGGGUUGGACUGGAUGGCCUCUAAAACCCCCUUCCCAUCCAAACCUUUCUAUGAUUAUAUGUGAUCUUACAAUGCCUAAAGAGACCCGAGCCCGACACUCACUGAGCAUUAAUUACAGACAUGGCACAAGCAGAGAAGGGGACUCCUGCCCCACUUGCCCCAGUUCUAAUGAGUGGAUUUCUCUGGGGCUUUAAUGGGGUGACCAGAGGCAGAAAAGGGGCUGGGGGGACACACGCAGUGGGAAGCAGCUCUGCAUCCAGGACUUGCCUUUUGAUGCUACAGCCUUUGAUCCCAGCAGGACUAUGUCCUCCCCUGCCUGGGGCUCGUUGCUGUGUCCGGGAAUUUGGAGCAGGUGCUGGGGCGAAUCCCACGGGCCGUGCACAGCAGAGCCCUCAACGCGAUGUUCCACCACCACGAUUUUCCACUUCCUACUGGCAGAGGCAUGCGAAAACUUCCCAAGGCAAUUCCUGCAGUUUUGGCUGGAAGAGGCAAACAAUAAAAGAACGGGGCAGGAGAAAAAAAAGAUGGCAAAGUCCCAAUAUAAUUUUGCUGUCUGGAAGUUCAUUAGUGUGUGGUAGCUGCUGCAGCUGCUGGAUUUAUUUCCAUCACACCCCGCCGAGGUGGCAGCCAUGUGCUGAAGGUGUUUCAGGCACAGUGGGACGGUGAUCGGAGCCAAGGGCUUUGCCGGAGAGCUCUGGGAGUCACUGCGAGUGCAAGGCUGGGGCUAGACGGGGAAGGUCACAGCUCGGGAUGAAGGUGCAUUAGCAGAGAUUGAGCUUUACUUUCGUGGCUGGCAUUAGUUUUUCUCCCCCCUUCUCUAUCCCAUCCCUCUCCAUGGGUAAUGCAGCCUGGAGAAAGGAGGAUAGAGAAAACUUCUGAGUGUUGGUUCUUGCUCUCACCAACCCUCACGACUUUUUGUCAGGGGUCUUGGGGAUGAGGCGGGGUUUGCUCCAAGCUGCCCUUUCUGCCAUCACACAGAAAAGUUGGCUAUCACUUGGAAAAAGUGAGGGAGAAGAAUUGCCCCCAUGGAGAGUUCAGAGUUCACAAAUACAAAUCCAGAAGGCCUCCAAAACCCCAAAAGUGGAUAAAAAGCUUAAAAAAAAAAAAAAAAAAAAAAAGCCAAACAGCCAAACAAACCAGAGCAUAUUGGUUUAGGAGUCAUGAAUCUGAAAAAGGGCCAUGUGAUGCAUUUGGAGGUGGCUCAGGACCACCUCAUGGCGGCUGGGGAAGGUGGCCAGCCUGCUCUCCACCCCAGCAGGACUCCAGAGUUUUCCAGCCCUGGCAAUCUGCGAGUGACCAAAUCUAAGUGGCAGUGUAAUUCAGUGGCCCAAAUUACCAACAGAUCUGGUGCAGGGUCACUGCUUAGUCCCACAGGAGGUGGCUGGCAGCCGUGCUGAGGACAGGAGGCUCCUCCUGGGGCUGCCCAUGAUUUCCCUGGCUGCCUCUGGAGCUUCUGACCCAAUCUUAAGGGCCACAGAGAGCACACAGAGCAAAACCACUUAAAAAGGAGCUCACGUGAUCCAUUGGUUUAUUUUGGUUCCCAUUUCCCCAUCUUCCUUGUGAGCGAUGCUUGGGAAGGAGGUUACGGUGUGAGCCAGGAGGUCACAGCAGGCAGAGGUUGAGUUAUGCUUGAUUUGCAGUACAAAUGGCAUGGGAUGGGCACAUCGCAUGUUGAACAAUAAAUAUGUAUGUGUUCUUAUUUUCCUCCUGUUUUUUAAGUGUCCUUCACCAAAACCUUGAGAGCUGGAUCUACGCUUAAAGAAAACCAGAAUUCUUUCAUGGAACCACAUGAUUGUAAGGAUGGACCGUUUAGAAAAAAGUGAAGUAUGUCGGACCUUGGAACAGCAUAACGUAAGGCAUCACCACUUUGGGUGGUGCUUAGACUCCCCUGGGUGGUGGCUGACCCAUCAGUUUUUGACUUGCUUGUUCGGUCAAGCAAUAAUGAGAAGCUUGUCGUCCGCCCAUUCAUCCAUCCAUCCGUGGGUUGCCCAUCAGUCCCAUUCUCUGGAGCAAAGGACACAGUUGCUGGAAGAUCGUUCUGCCUCCCAAAACACCUCUUCCCUUCUCCCAGAGAAGUCAUUCUGUCCUGGGGAGUCCCAACAUACCUCUCUACAGAAGGAAAAACUUCACUCCAGUCCAAUACAUGGCAAUACAAAGAGUCACUCUGUGUAUACUGGAAAAGCAGAAGAUUCCAGAGCUAGCCGCAUCGCGAUGGACAGAAACUUUAAGCUUGGAUUCCCCAAAGAGCUGCAAGGCAACGUGGGAUGUGGCUCCUGAGCUCUUUGCUGGAGCUUAACCUUUGCACAACGGGGAAACAAGCGUUGAGGAAGUUGCGGAGCAAGUCCUGUUUCCCCUUGGCCCUGGGUACAACGCAAGCACAAGGCAUAGAGUCAUCUUCCAUGCCAAAAUAAUCUCCCUCUGUGCUUCUGACCCCAUGACUCAUUGUCGGAGCCAGGAGGUAGCGGUGGGAAGGGGCUGGUUUGCAGGACAAGUGUGUGGUGAGACGAGGCCAGGCGAUAGGCCUGGAGGCUUAGGUUGGCGCGUCAGUGAGGGUGAGGUGGGAAGGAGUCAACGUCUUCGUUGUCAUCCUUGUUAAGUCUCAGGGGUGGUACAGAAUGAACGGCUGCUGAGCAACGUGUUCUAGCUGAAGAUGUCCUAGUUGAAGAUGUCCCUGCUCAUGGAAGGGGGUUGGACUGGAUGGCCUUUAAAGGUCCCUUCCAACCCAGACCACUCUAUGCUUCUAUGACUGAUUCUAUGAUUCUAUGAUUCAGUGGAUAAAGUCUUGGCCCGGGCGCCAGCCAGCGACCCCAGCCACUGCGGCACAGACCUACUGACAUGCUGAAAUGUCUGAAGUGGGGACAUGGGUGGAACAUGCCUAAACUCCAGCUUUGCAAGAAAAUCUCCAGCUCGCUGGUGGCCUGCAACACUUCCUGCAUCCUGCCAGGCCUUGGCCUCUCAUUAGGGACUUCUAAUGAGGAUCGGGACCCUCCUGGUGGCGUUUCUCAGCCUGAGCAGCCCCAUUCCCUUGGCAUGACCCGAGUUCCUAACACACCUCUCUCGCUCUGCACAGCUGACCUGCUGUGUAAAAGUGUUUUCAUGUGAAACCACAGCACGGAGACACAGACCAGAGCAGGGGCUGUUUGCUGAGGGGGGCUGGGGAUGGAGAUUGAAUUCACAUCUUCACUGGAACUUCUCCCUUCCUUGUGGAGCUAAAUCACCAGUUUCUGAGCUACUAGGGGAGUUGGAAAUGUUCUUGCGUUUGGUGCUCUGUCUUGUCUGUGGCAUAACCUCCUCUGCAUCACUCGGGUGAAGCCACUCCAACAGGAGACGCUGUCACCGUGCCCUGCCUUGCUCCUGGUGACACUUGGCUGUGGACAGCCAUCUGGCUCUGUAGAAGACCAAGGUCAGCCUCAGUGUUUCAUCACCCCUCUUGGUCAGCCAGCAGUUACCUUUGGAAGGUGUCUAUGCCCCUGUAUUACUGCAGCUUUUCUCUCACAUUAAUUUAAGCACAGGAUGAGUUUACAGUUCUUCCUGCUGCCAGCUGAAUGUUGUAGUUGCUCAGCUGCAAUGUUGGCCUCUGCUACUUCAGCCCAAUCAAUCCCAAGUGCUUUUCUGCACAAUCGAGCCCAAAGAAUCCUAAGCACAGCUUCACCAGGAGAGCAGGGGACGACUUCACUGGCACAGGCUGCCCAGAGAGGUGGGGCAGUCACCACCCACGGAGGUAUUUAAAGGAUGUGUAGAUGCAGCACGUCAGGGCAUGGUUUAGGAAGCACGGUAGUGCUGCGUUGACGGUUGGACUUGGUGAUCCUAGAGGUCUUUUCCAACCUUAAUGAUUCUAUGACUCUAUGAUUCUACUUUUCACUCCAGAGAGCCCUAAAGGCUGAUGUAUAGUGGGUGGGAGGUCUUGGUCAAUAACAAGGUCCUGAGGUUCAUGGAGAUGUUAAGUGCCGCCGGUAGAAAGCAAGCUGGACCACGUGGGUCCUCGUCUGGUGUCUGUCUCCUAUCUAUCGGAAGGUUUUUAGAAGUAGUGACUUUUCUGUGAUUUGCUUUUUCAGCCGAAACACCAUCCCACAGGGUGGAGUGUACGCAGGCUGUACCCAGACUUUAGCAAAACCCUCUCCAAUAUUCUGGAUAUCUAUUUAGCUCUCUCCGCAAGGCAGCCUCUUAUUUUUGCCACUCACAUCUUUCUUCCUGCCAUUGUCACCCCAAUAAACAUGUGGUUGUAGUACCUUUUCUUCCCAGCCACCAAAUCCUCCUCACUGCUCCAGUCUUCUCCACGAUCCCCUCCUUACCUCUAGCAGGUCUUUCUCUCUGCUCCAUGACUACCAAAACCCAGCAUGUCCUGGAUUUCCUGCUUUCAUCGGCACAUAUUCAGUGAUCGAGUGAGUCCCCUGAGAAGUGCCCCAAGGCUUGAGAUAGUUGGGGUGGGGGACAGUGGCUGCUGCUCCAGAAAGGCGUCGGUCUCCUGCAGGGUCUGUGUCACACCUGCCAGCCACCCCUGCAGAAAUGUCUUCAUCUCCCUAUGGCCUAUGUAUAUGACACAAAUCUGAGCGAGAUGUGGGCUAUGGUUCAGAUGCCCACACAUAGACACUCGGUGCCAUCUGAGAUGCUUGAGAGUUUCUGAGACUUGCAGACAGUGUGAUGACCCAGGACCUCUGGAGACCUUCUUGCCUCUGGAUGGUGCUUGGAAGCCAGGUGGGCUAGAGUUGGAGAAUAAUUUAGACUGAAAAGGACUUAUUUAGGUCAUCUAAUCCAACCGCAGCUAUCCUCAGACAUCUCAGAUGGUGCCAGGCACUUUGAGAGGCUUCUCUCCCUGCUCCCAAGUGGUGUCCCCCAAUGCUCGUUACUCUGCCCGUUCUGCUCAGAGUCAUGACCACCGCGAGCUCCUCACCCGCGGCUCGCCUUCAUUGUCAGUGGAGUGCUCAGCAGCCUCCUGCAGAGGAUGCCCAGAGGGCCUGAUACAGCUCUCGUGCCUACUGGUUUUUGUCUGGGGCAGGGUUGGGCCAUGUUCUGCCAGGUGUGAGCCCCAGCAUCCCCCCACCAUCCCAGCUUCCCACGGUGGUGGAUCCUCCUCUCUCUGGUUCAUCUACAGCAGCUCCUUGUCUCCAGCCGGAGCCGUCAGCUUGACUUGAGACUGUCUGGGCUCUCCAAGGGAUGCCACUGAAUCCAUUUCAAUGGGACAAUUUAUCUUGCUCCAGCUCCCUUUUGACUAUGGUUGGCCGUGCAGCGUGGAAGCGUGGUUCCUGCCGGCUCGGUGAUGUGCCCGCUGGGCCGGCAGCAGAGCCGUGGAGGGUAGGUUGGUGCUAACAAGGGGGGGAGCUGCCACUGAACGGGCUUUUCCCUGCCUGGCCUCGGUUUGCAGCAGCAAGCGUCCCUGCGGAGCUGCCCAGCCCUCUGAAGUCUGUAAAGGCUGGCUUUUCAGCGGCAAGGCUUGAACUAAUUUGUCUGUGAGGCUCUCUAGAGACGUCACCUCACCCGCUGAGAUAAGUGGUUGUAAUUUAAACACCUGCGAGUUGUCCUCGUUUUCCACCCCUCCCCCCUGAAAUAUUGCACUGCUUUCUUAGGAGAAGGUAGUGUGCUGCACAAAGAGGUUUUAAUUAAACGGAAGCAUACAUAAUCCCUUUCUCCUGUUUUAAUUGAGUUUCCACUGAGGGAAGCCAACAGUAUUUGCCAAAACAGGGCCUGGAUCUGCCUCGCGCAUCUUCAGAUAUGAGAUGCAUCCCAGUAUGGGGGAGUAAGCCCUUGAAA
Molecule: non-coding RNA, 5903 nt
Organism: Phalacrocorax carbo (great cormorant)
Lineage: Eukaryota; Metazoa; Chordata; Aves; Suliformes; Phalacrocoracidae
Source: RefSeq, a predicted model, not a curated record